Molecule: small RNA, 494 nt
Filed under: Pan troglodytes (chimpanzee)
Lineage: Eukaryota; Metazoa; Chordata; Mammalia; Primates; Hominidae
Description: processed transcript
Source: RNAcentral
CUUCUCCCAGCGAUACUUCCAGUGCAAUCCUGAAGCCCUGUCCUCAGAGGACGGCGCCCACACGCUGACCUGUGCGCUCAUGCUGCUCAACACGGAUCUCCACGGCCAUAACAUCGGGAAGCGCAUGACCUGCGGGGACUUCAUCGGGAACCUGGAGGGCCUCAAUGAUGGCGGCGACUUCCCUAGGGAGCUGCUCAAGGCCUUGUACAGCUCCAUCAAGAAUGAGAAGCUGCAGUGGGCCAUGGCGAGCAGAGGCCAGAACUGAAGCGGGGGUCGCGGCUCCAUGGCCAGCCCCCUCUGAGGUGAUCACACCUGCAGAGACGAGGAGGAGCUGAGACGCUCUCUGUCUGAGUUGGCCGACCCCAACCCCAAGGUCAUCAAGCGGAUCAGCGGGGGCAGUGGCAGUGGCUCCAGCCCUUUCCUGGACCUGACUCCCGAGCCUGGGGCUGCCGUCUACAAGCACGGGGCCCUGGUGCGAAAGGUGCACGCAGACC